This 447-nucleotide ribosomal RNA is filed under the name uncultured bacterium. Its description in RNAcentral is "bacterial SSU rRNA". It matches the Rfam family "Bacterial small subunit ribosomal RNA", at positions 329 to 792 of the family's 1533-position model. The record is from RNAcentral.
UCCCAGACUCCUACGGGAGGCAGCAGUGGGGAAUAUUGCACAAUGGGGGAAACCCUGAUGCAGCGACGCCGCGUGAGUGAAGAAGUAUUUCGGUAUGUAAAGCUCUAUCAGCAGGGAAGAUAAUGACGGUACCUGACUAAGAAGCCCCGGCUAACUACGUGCCAGCAGCCGCGGUAAUACGUAGGGGGCAAGCGUUAUCCGGAUUUACUGGGUGUAAAGGGUGCGUAGGUGGCAUGGCAAGUCAGAAGUGAAAGCCUGGGGCUCAACCCCGCGGACUGCUUUUGAAACUGUCAGGCUGGAGUACAGGAGAGGUAAGCGGAAUUCCUAGUGUAGCGGUGAAAUGCGUAGAUAUUAGGAGGAACACCAGUGGCGAAGGCGGCUUACUGGACUGUAACUGACACUGAGGCACGAAAGCGUGGGGAGCAAACAGGAUUAGAUACCCCUGUA